AUAAGAUGUGCUCCAGCAUGAUUACAAAACAUGUUUCUAAGCUUAUGAUGAAUUUUAAUUUCAACAAAAAUUUAUUUGUUUUCUAAUUUAAAUGCUCACAAAAAAAUAUUCAAAUAAAUCAAAUUAAAAUCCUAUUUCUUGAAAAUCAGAUUUCGGGUGUUACAAUCACAAUAUAUAACUAAUCACCCAUAAAAAUAAUCCUCUGCAUGAGGCGGUUUGUAAGAUGGACUACUUGAAGAAACUGAGCUCAACGAGAUCUAAAAGUAUAUAGUUAAUAUUUUUUUUUUAUUUUAAGGCAUUUGGGUGGAGCCGGUUGCAAAUUAAAAACUGCUUUUGCAAAUCAAAUUUGACUACUGUUUCUAAAAAUGCUUUGUGUAGUAAUGUAUAACGCUUUCAUAUAUAUAAUGUCACUAUCACUAUGCAAACCCUUUGACAAGAGUACUCCGAAAUACUAUGGUGCACAUAUCAUUUUCCACAUCCGAUGGGUGCAUAGUAUUUGUAUGUGAGGCGUAUACAUACAUACUCCCUCCGUCUAAAAAAAUAACAUUUUUUUUUAUUUUUAGACAUCAUUUUGACCGUUCAUUUAUUUUGGUAAAUUAUAAAAUAAAUAAAUUAAUAAAGUGUUUUUAGUGAUAAAAUAAGUUUUAACAAAAUAUAUAAUAUUGAAGUAAAAAAGUUGAAUAAGACAAAUGAUUAAAUAAGAUGUCUGAAUAAAAUUUUAAAACAACACUUUUUUGAACGAGGGAGUAAAUGGUCCCUGCCAUCAAAAAGUCAAGAGACGCGUACUGUUUGUGUCUCUAUAUAUAUGUACAGUCACGUGAUUAGCGUUUAGAGUACACAGAGAGUCACUG
Molecule: long non-coding RNA, 851 nt
Filed under: Sorghum bicolor (sorghum)
Lineage: Eukaryota; Viridiplantae; Streptophyta; Magnoliopsida; Poales; Poaceae
Description: long non-coding RNA (SBIC_LNC001995)
Source: RNAcentral